CUACGGGGGGCUGCAGUGAGGAAUAUUGCGCAAUGGGGGAAACCCUGACGCAGCGACGCCGCGUGGAUGAUGAAGGCCUUCGGGUCGUAAAAUCCUGUCAGAUGGAAAGAAAUGUAAUCCUGCUAAUACCAUGAUUACUUGACGGUACCAUCAGAGGAAGCACCGGCUAACUCCGUGCCAGCAGCCGCGGUAAUACGGAGGGUGCAAGCGUUGUUCGGAAUUACUGGGCGUAAAGCGCGCGUAGGCGGUUUGUUAAGUCAGAUGUGAAAGCCCAGGGCUCAACCCUGGACGUGCAUUUGAAACUGGCAGACUUGAGUAUUGGAGGGGGUGGUGGAAUUCCCGGUGUAGAGGUGAAAUUCGUAGAUAUCGGGAGGAAUACCGGUGGCGAAGGCGACCACCUGGCCAAAUACUGACGCUGAGGUGCGAAAGCGUGGGGAGCAAACAGGAUUAGAUACCCUAGUAGUC
This 465-nucleotide ribosomal RNA is filed under the name uncultured bacterium. RNAcentral describes it as "partial 16S ribosomal RNA". It matches the Rfam family "Bacterial small subunit ribosomal RNA", at positions 339 to 795 of the family's 1533-position model. The record is from RNAcentral.